CAGGCCUAACACAUGCAAGUCGAACGGUAGCACAGAGAGCUUGCUCUCGGGUGACGAGUGGCGGACGGGUGAGUAAUGUCUGGGAAACUGCCCGAUGGAGGGGGAUAACUACUGGAAACGGUAGCUAAUACCGCAUAACGUCUUCGGACCAAAGUGGGGGACCUUCGGGCCUCACACCAUCGGAUGUGCCCAGAUGGGAUUAGCUAGUAGGUGGGGUAAUGGCUCACCUAGGCGACGAUCCCUAGCUGGUCUGAGAGGAUGACCAGCCACACUGGAACUGAGACACGGUCCAGACUCCUACGGGAGGCAGCAGUGGGGAAUAUUGCACAAUGGGCGCAAGCCUGAUGCAGCCAUGCCGCGUGUAUGAAGAAGGCCUUCGGGUUGUAAAGUACUUUCAGCGGGGAGGAAGGCGAUGUGGUUAAUAACCGCAUCGAUUGACGUUACCCGCAGAAGAAGCAUCGGCUAACUCCGUGCCAGCAGCCGCGGUAAU
RNAcentral lists this ribosomal RNA (490 nucleotides) under uncultured bacterium. RNAcentral describes it as "bacterial SSU rRNA". It matches the Rfam family "Bacterial small subunit ribosomal RNA", at positions 43 to 524 of the family's 1533-position model. The record is from RNAcentral.